This 263-nucleotide ribosomal RNA is filed under the name uncultured bacterium. Its description in RNAcentral is "partial 16S ribosomal RNA". It matches the Rfam family "Bacterial small subunit ribosomal RNA", at positions 95 to 354 of the family's 1533-position model. The record is from RNAcentral.
CCGGCGCACGGGUGAGUAACGCGUAUGCAACCUGCCCGUUUCAGCGGGAUAACCCGGAGAAAUCCGGCCUAAUACCGCAUGUGGCCGAGGGGAGGCAUCUUCUUUCGGCCAAAGGAGGCGACUCCGGAGACGGAUGGGCAUGCGUGACAUUAGCUUGUUGGCGGGGUAACGGCCCACCAAGGCGACGAUGUCUAGGGGUUCUGAGAGGAAGGUCCCCCACACUGGUACUGAGACACGGACCAGACUCCUACGGGAGGCAGCAG